This is a long non-coding RNA of Cervus elaphus (red deer), 155 nucleotides long. RefSeq lists it as uncharacterized. NCBI's taxonomy places the organism in Eukaryota, Metazoa, Chordata, Mammalia, Artiodactyla, Cervidae. The transcript has 3 exons. The record is from RefSeq and is a predicted model, not a curated record.
UCCUCCUCCACCUGGCAGCUACACAGCUGAUUGUUGUCCUCUGCAUUUUGUAAGGUCCAGCUGUCAUCACUGGGGCGCGGGGGGCCAUGCUGGACCCUGCGAAUGCAUACGUGGUGGAAAAGCGAGGAAACCAGUUCUGUGGCAGGAGACCCAGG